AGUGAACGCUGGCGGCGUGCCUAAUACAUGCAAGUCGAACGAGUGGCGCACGGGCGGGUAAUGUAUAGCUAAUCUUCCCUCUAAUAGAGGACAACAGUUGGAAACGGCUGCUACUACUCCAUAGUUUAUGUUGAGGCUAUAUUGUUUCAGCUAGUUGGUGAGGUAAUGGCUCACCAAGGCUAUGACGCAUAACUGGUCUGAGAGGAUGAUCAGUCAAACUGGAACGGAGACACGGUCCAGACUCCUACGGGAGGCAGCAGUAGGGAAUAUUGCUCAAUGGGGGAAACCCUGAAGCAGCAACGCCGCGUGGAGGAUUACACUUUUCGGAGCGUAAACUCCUUUUGUUAGGGAAGCGGUACCUAACGAAUAAGCACCGGCUAACUCCGUGCCAGCAGCCGCGGUAAUUC
This 407-nucleotide ribosomal RNA is filed under the name uncultured bacterium. RNAcentral's name for it is "partial 16S ribosomal RNA". It matches the Rfam family "Bacterial small subunit ribosomal RNA", at positions 29 to 526 of the family's 1533-position model. The record is from RNAcentral.